UUAAAUUGAAGAGUUUGAUCAUGGCUCAGAUUGAACGCUGGCGGCAGGCCUAACACAUGCAAGUCGAACGGUAACAGGAAGCAGCUUGCUGUUUCGCUGACGAGUGGCGGACGGGUGAGUAAUGUCUGGGAAACUGCCUG
Molecule: ribosomal RNA, 140 nt
Filed under: Escherichia coli
Lineage: Bacteria; Pseudomonadati; Pseudomonadota; Gammaproteobacteria; Enterobacterales; Enterobacteriaceae
Also listed under: 1 other name
Description: partial 16S ribosomal RNA
Rfam family: Bacterial small subunit ribosomal RNA
Source: RNAcentral